AGCAACUUCUGUGUACUAGAACAAACCUAUUAUACAAAACCAUCUGACAACGCUGCUCUAAAGUGAAAAGUGCUCUUCAAACAUCGAUGACAUCUUUUUUUUCCUGUUUUCUCUACCUACCUAAACAUCAGCUGUCUCCCGUUUCCCGAGAGUUCGCCGACCAGUUUUGCUUUCAAACUGAAAAAAACUACAGUUUAACUUCACCAGGCACAAUCAUCAGAAUGAGAUGCAGGAAAAUAUUAACCCAGAAUGGUUUUACCGUCCAGUGUGAGAAACAUUUUACAAAUGAUAAAAAAGGUAUUUGUGCGGAUCUGCGAAUUCGGUUUUUGUGGAAUAAUUCGACCAAGGGCUAUGAUGUAUGCUAUAGCAUCGGUGGAGAGUAAGUCCAAUCAUACAGCUUCAUCCCACCCCGGGAGCAGAUGAGCGCUAGCGAAUGUUCUCAGCCACCUGGAGGAGGAGGUUCAGCGCGGAAGAAAUGUUACCAGAUUUCGCCGAUCUGGUGUCUGAACUUUUUUUUGAUAAUCUCAGAGAUUGGGUGUGCAGAUGGACGGUUGGAGUUCUGGGAGGGAACGACUGGUAACUUUAAGGGUAUAUAUGAAGCCGAAAACACCCACAACAAUGGGGUAACUAACACAUAGCUCGCCGGUGACAAAGUGAUAGUCGCACGGUUGAGUGGAGGAAUCGAUUUUCUGAAACUGGAAACGUACACGCAAGGUUGUCAGAUCGAUUGGGGAUUUACGUCUGCAUAAGGGCGAACCCACGCACGUACCGGUUCGGCAGGAAGCAUUAGUUAAUUUCAGCAAUCCGUCCACAGCGUUGCCAGCUCAACAUCACGCAUCCGAGA
Molecule: long non-coding RNA, 844 nt
Organism: Topomyia yanbarensis
Lineage: Eukaryota; Metazoa; Arthropoda; Insecta; Diptera; Culicidae
Exons: 3
Source: RefSeq, a predicted model, not a curated record